This 663-nucleotide ribosomal RNA is filed under the name uncultured Actinomycetes bacterium. RNAcentral's name for it is "bacterial SSU rRNA". It matches the Rfam family "Bacterial small subunit ribosomal RNA", at positions 232 to 885 of the family's 1533-position model. Lineage: Bacteria; Bacillati; Actinomycetota; Actinomycetes. The record is from RNAcentral.
CGCGGCCUAUCAGCUUGUUGGUGUGGUAACGGCGCACCAAGGCAACGAUGGGUAGCUGGUCUGAGAGGAUGGUCAGCCACAUUGGGACUAAGACACUGCCCAAACUCCUACGGGAGGCUGCAGUCGAGAAUAUUUCGCAAUGGGGGAAACCCUGACGAUGCGACGCCGCGUGGGGGAUGAAGGCCUUCGGGUCGUAAACCUCUGUGUUACGGGAUGAAUCGAGCGUUGCUGAUAACGCAGCGUUUUUGACGUUACCGUAGUAGAAAGCCCCAGCUAACUACGUGCCAGCAGCUGCGGUAAUACGUAGGGGGCAAGCGUUGUCCGGAAUCACUGGGCGUAAAGCGCGCGCAGGCGGUAGGGUAAGUCAGACGUGAAAGGGUUCGGCUCAACCGAGCCAUUGCGUUUGAUACUGCUUUACUUGAGUCUAGAAGAGGAAAGUGGAAUGUAUGGUGUAGCGGUGGAAUGCUUAGAUAUCAUAUAGAACACCCGUGGCGAAGGCGGCUUUCUGGUCUAAGACUGACGCUCAUGCGCGAAAGUUUGGGGAGCAACCGGGAUUAGAUACCCCGCUAGUCCUUACUGUAAACGAUGGGUACUAAGUGUAGGGGGUGUUGAUUCCCUCUGUGCUGUAGCUAACGCAUUAAGUACCCCGCCUGGGGAGUACGG